ACCUGGCUCGCCAUAAACGCGAAGGCAAAAAUUACGUCAUCAAGAAGAUCAAGACUCGUGACAUGAGUACUCAGGACAAAGAAAACACCGCCAAUGAAGUUCGUCUCCUUCAGAAAUUAAGACAUGCAAAUAUCGUUGCUUACAAGGACUCUUAUCUCGAUCGAGAGCAAUAUCUCAAUAUAGUUAUGGCGUACUG
This 196-nucleotide non-coding RNA is filed under the name Protocruzia adhaerens. Lineage: Eukaryota; Ciliophora; Spirotrichea. The record is from RNAcentral.